GACGAACGCUGGCGGCGUGCUUAACACAUGCAAGUCGAACGGAAAGGCCCUGCUUUUGUGGGGUGCUCGAGUGGCGAACGGGUGAGUAACACGUGAGUAACCUGCCCUUGACUUUGGGAUAACUUCAGGAAACUGGGGCUAAUACCGGAUAGGAGCUCCUGCUGCAUGGUGGGGGUUGGAAAGUUUCGGCGGUUGGGGAUGGACUCGCGGCUUAUCAGCUUGUUAGUGGUGUAGUGGCUUACCAAGGCUUUGACGGGUAGCCGGCCUGAGAGGGUGACCGGCCACAUUGGGACUGAGAUACGGCCCAGACUCCUACGGGAGGCAGCAGUGGGGAAUAUUGCACAAUGGGCGGAAGCCUGAUGCAGCAACGCCGCGUGCGGGAUGACGGCCUUCGGGUUGUAAACCGCUUUCGCCUGUGACGAAGCGUGAGUGACGGUAAUGGGUAAAGAAGCACCGGCUAACUACGUG
Molecule: ribosomal RNA, 468 nt
Filed under: uncultured bacterium
Lineage: Bacteria
Description: partial 16S ribosomal RNA
Rfam family: Bacterial small subunit ribosomal RNA
Source: RNAcentral